Molecule: long non-coding RNA, 703 nt
Organism: Carassius auratus (goldfish)
Lineage: Eukaryota; Metazoa; Chordata; Actinopteri; Cypriniformes; Cyprinidae
Exons: 2
Source: RefSeq, a predicted model, not a curated record
CCGCUCGCCGCUCAAACGCGGCCACCAUCUGCUUCACCACCUGGUCGAAAAACACCGUCGAUAACUGCGAAUGUAGCAAUGAGCGGAACUCGAACGAGAUCUGAAAACCAACCACAUUCAAAGAAAGAGACCUGGGAUGAUUUUAAAGAUGUUGUAAUGCACGCUGGACGACUUACUUUGACCAGAUGUGGACGGACGUGGCUUAUCAUUGAAGUGUACCGCUCCACAACAGGAGGAAAGCCCACUUCCAGCUGAGCUUUGGCAUGACCGGCCCUUUUCAUGAUGGUUUGCGACUUUUUACACCAUGGUACAAAGUGUUUGUAGUCAUCCACAUUGACUACCACAUCAUACAUCUCUUGCAUUGAGUACCUAAAGAACAAAACACAGGUACAUCUUUUUAUUUUUAGAACUGACCCUUCGCAGGGCUUUUGAUUGACAGGCGAUCUGACCAAUCACAAUGCUGAAUCUACUAUUUUAUCCGAUAAACCAGCCAGGAGAGGAGAUUAAUGUUGGUGGACUUGAACUUGAAAAAUACUGUGUAUUGACGUCUUUCCGCAGUUGAAACAAGAUCGUUUUCUGAUGUUCAUUCAUGUUUAUUUCAUGUUACAACUAGUGAAGAGGAAGAGAUGAUCAGUUCACGUGCUGCUUUAACUGAGGCGCUACAGUGAUCUGUCACAAUGCAUUAAAGAGACACAAAAUGGUA